Molecule: ribosomal RNA, 446 nt
Filed under: uncultured bacterium
Lineage: Bacteria
Description: bacterial SSU rRNA
Rfam family: Bacterial small subunit ribosomal RNA
Source: RNAcentral
GUCCAGACUCCUACGGGAGGCAGCAGUGGGGAAUAUUGCACAAUGGGGGAAACCCUGAUGCAGCGACGCCGCGUGAGCGAUGAAGUAUUUCGGUAUGUAAAGCUCUAUCAGCAGGGAAGAAGAUGACGGUACCUGACUAAGAAGCCCUGGCUAACUACGUGCCAGCAGCCGCGGUAAUACGUAGGGGGCAAGCGUUAUCCGGAUUUACUGGGUGUAAAGGGAGCGUAGACGGCGAUGCAAGCCAGAUGUGAAAGCCCGGGGCUCAACCCCGGGACUGCAUUUGGAACUGUGUGGCUGGAGUGUCGGAGAGGCAGGCGGAAUUCCUAGUGUAGCGGUGAAAUGCGUAGAUAUUAGGAGGAACACCAGUGGCGAAGGCGGCCUGCUGGACGAUGACUGACGUUGAGGCUCGAAAGCGUGGGGAGCAAACAGGAUUAGAUACCCUAGUA